CAACAAGUCUGUAAGCGCAACUUCUCCUAAACAGAUUAAUCAAUAUUGAUGAAACUUUACACAGUUUUUGUACACAACCUGUAGAUGUGCAUGAAGGAAGAUAUUUCUGGUAAGAUUUUUUUCAAGGGAGAUAAGCACAACUCCUCCUAAAUGACUGUACCAAUAUUAAUUAAACUUUACACAGAUCCAGUACAUGACCAGAGAAUGUGCAUAAAGGAAG
Molecule: long non-coding RNA, 220 nt
Filed under: Mytilus galloprovincialis (Mediterranean mussel)
Lineage: Eukaryota; Metazoa; Mollusca; Bivalvia; Mytilida; Mytilidae
Source: RNAcentral